AUGAACGCUGGCGGCGUGCCUAAUACAUGCAAGUCGAGCGAACAGACGAGGAGCUUGCUCCUCUGACGUUAGCGGCGGACGGGUGAGUAACACGUGGAUAACCUACCUAUAAGACUGGGAUAACUUCGGGAAACCGGAGCUAAUACCGGAUAAUAUAUUGAACCGCAUGGUUCAAUAGUGAAAGACGGAUUUGCUGUCACUUAUAGAUGGAUCCGCGCCGCAUUAGCUAGUUGGUAAGGUAACGGCUUACCAAGGCAACGAUGCGUAGCCGACCUGAGAGGGUGAUCGGCCACACUGGAACUGAGACACGGUCCAGACUCCUACGGGAGGCAGCAGUAGGGAAUCUUCCGCAAAGGGCGAAAGCCUGACGGAGCAACGCCGCGUGAGUGAUGAAGGUCUUCGGAUCGUAAAACUCUGUUAUUAGGGAAGAACAAAUGUGUAAGUAACUAUGCACGUCUUGACGGUACCUAAUCAGAAAGCCACGGCUAACUACGUG
This 496-nucleotide ribosomal RNA is filed under the name uncultured bacterium. RNAcentral describes it as "partial 16S ribosomal RNA". It matches the Rfam family "Bacterial small subunit ribosomal RNA", at positions 29 to 507 of the family's 1533-position model. The record is from RNAcentral.